Molecule: ribosomal RNA, 324 nt
Filed under: uncultured eukaryote
Lineage: Eukaryota
Description: partial 18S ribosomal RNA
Rfam family: Eukaryotic small subunit ribosomal RNA
Source: RNAcentral
CCCUUAGAUGCUCUGGGCCGCACGCGCGCUACACUGGUCGAUGCAACGAGUUUCUUUCCUUGGCCGACAGGCCUGGGCAAUCUUUGAACAUCGAUCGUGAUCGGGAUAGAUUCUUGUAAUUUUUGAUCUUAAACGAGGAAUUCCUAGUAAACGCAAGUCAUCAGCUUGCAUUGAUUACGUCCCUGCCCUUUGUACACACCGCCCGUCGCACCUACCGAUUGAAUGGUCCGGUGAAAUCUCCGGACUGGCGUGAGUCGGAGCAAUCUGACAAACACCGGAAAGUUGAUUAAACCUUACCAUUGAGAGGAAGGUGAAGUCGUAACA